This 63-nucleotide transfer RNA is filed under the name Halice sp. JL-2018. RNAcentral describes it as "tRNA-Leu". The record is from RNAcentral. Lineage: Eukaryota; Metazoa; Arthropoda; Malacostraca; Amphipoda; Pardaliscidae.
UUUAAAAUGGCAGAUUAGUGCAUUAGGGUUAAGUUCUAUAAAUGAGAUAUUUCUCUUUUAAAA